This is a long non-coding RNA of Strigops habroptila (Kakapo), 3881 nucleotides long. The record is from Ensembl. NCBI's taxonomy places the organism in Eukaryota, Metazoa, Chordata, Aves, Psittaciformes, Psittacidae.
GGCGUGAGGCCAGCGGCCGCUCCGUUCCCUCCUUCUCCUCCUCCCCUGGCCGGGCCCGCAGGGGAGAGUGACACUCACCAGGCGGCUCCGUCCCGGCGGCAGCCCCCCGCGUCCCCCUGCGUCCCCCUGCGCCUCUGAUAAGCAGUUUCUGAGGAGUGAAGGACCUGCAAAAGGGAACACCCGCUCUUGAGGUUGCAAAGGUGCUAAAGCAUGGCUGACUUGGAUCACAACCUCAGUCUUGCGGAUGCUCUGACAGAGCCGCCUCCUGAGAUUGAGGAAGAAGUGAAAAGGGACUUCAUUGCCACACUGGAGGCAGAGAAAUUUGAUGACGUGGUUGGAGAAACAGUAGAUAAAACAGACUACGUUCCUCUGCUGGACGAUGAUGAUGCAAAAGCUGGGAGCCAGGAACCAAAGAGCAAACCCCAUGCAGAUGGUAUUCAGGUGGAAAAUACUUCAGCUUCUGGGCCAACAGUUGUAGAAAAUGGUGACCAUGGAAUAGAAGAUCACCGCACAGAAGCCUAGACUGUCUCCUAACACUGGGGCUGCCACUGAUACAAGACCAGUGUACUUUUCUACCUGCCAUUAUACUUCUAAAAUCUUCAGCAUUUUACAGAGCUCUUGCUUUACAUCCUUGGACUUUACGUGUAGAAGAAACCAAAGGGUAGCUGUGCUGUUGGCCGAUCAGCCCUGCUCCUCCUCCCUCUCUGCUCUGCAGUGCUUGUUGAAACCUUCCUUUCUUUGUGUAAGCACAAAUGUGCAUGAUGGUUUUGGACUGCACUAUUUCAGCACUCCCACUGUUUUUAAAUCACCACUACAGCUCCAUUUUCAGUUCAACCACUUUAAAAUUUAAUUUAUAUUCUUUUUCAUGGAUGCUUAAUAGCAGAAGGUUUGAUGUCAAAGUUGUGCUUUCAUAGCGGAUGGGUCCACCAUGACUGCAGCUCCUUUCCUUUCUACCCAUACUCACCACAGCCUUGUAGAAUAGUGCUGUUACCUGCCUUUAUCCUUGCUGCUUUGAAACCUUCUCUUAGGAGGUUUUUAUCUUUAAUAAUGUCUUCUUUGAAACAUGGGUUUUCACAUCAUAGCACUUACUAUACAGACUUGAGAAACAGAUUAGGAAAAACUCAUGUUUACCGAGGCACAAGCAGGUUGUCUCUGGUUUGUGUGGGGUUGAUUGUGGGAUUCAAGCGCUUGCUGUCAACUGGGGGUAUAAAGGAAAACGAUCAACCCUAAAUUCCUGCCUCAGGAAGUUGUUUUGCUGCUAUAUUGCUUUCUGAAGCCUUGGAAGUAAGAAAGAAACUUGCCUUUCUUUAACUUCAUAUCUCUAGCUUUGGUUUGGUAAUGACAACUUUGGAUGGAAUUUUACCUAGCAUGAAAAAUAAUCUGUCCCUUCUACAUCUGAAAGAAAGAAAAGAUCUAGGACUAAAUUGUUAAAUCUGUGCUGAAAUAUUUAUGACCAUUUCCAGCAACACCAAAAGGAAUGGGCCAGUUUGAACCUGAAACAAAGCUACAGGAGGUCAGCAAAUCCAUUGCAAUUCCUGCCGUCUCUAUAAAGGUGCAGAGUUUCCCAAACACAAAAGUAUUAGUUACUGCUAUUCAGCAGAUAAAACAAAAUUCAGAAGGAAAUGAUUUAGAGAGACUACUUAGUAUUUUACAUGAGGCAAGGGUUUUUGUAGAUGAGUGAACAUUUUGUUUGAGGAUAUUUGUGUUGUGUAGCUAAAGGGACCUCGCCUACAACACCUGAUAAAAGUACAGGAUUUAUAUGAACCCACAUCCAGUCUAAGGUAGGACAUGAUGCUCCAAAUUGCCUAAGGAUAGCAUUCUAACACCUUCACUUGCCUAAAAAAUGGUAUUUUCUUGUUGUGAAGAGAGUAGCUUGCACCUGGGCAUUCCUAGUACCCUGCCAGUACUUGUGACUACAUUACGAUACUGUCUACUAGUGACUUACUUGGAAGAGUAUCGUACCUUGAAUGAAUACUACUAUUCAACAAAAGGUUUUCUUUGAAGAUCUCCCUCAAAUAGCGACCCACUGAGUCUUGAUUAUUUAUUUAUUUUUUAAUCUGAGACCUCACCUGCUCCCCACCCAGGGUGGCAGUGUCCAGAGUUGCUGCAAUGAACUGUGUGUAAUUUGCCUGUUUAGUGAUGUGCAUCAGGACUUGAGGCUUUUGUUCUCUAAUUUGGUGGCAAUUUAUUACUUUACCCACCAUUCAAAGCCUCAUUAGUAGCUGACAUCCUCACGGUGCCAGUUUCUGAAAAAGCAGUACUGUUGGCUUCUCCUCCAAGGUAAAUAGCUGUCACUUCUGAGAAACCUCAUUGCCUACAGGCACUCAGCUGCCAAAGCCCUGUGCUUCCCUUGCCAGUCCGAUGUGCAGAGUGACCACACUUAGAGGCCAGCAGCCUUUGCAACCAGAUCCUGGCUGAGCUACAAAAAUAAGCGUUUCCCCAUGGACUAGAGCAAUAAUGGUAGCUGGGACACACAAUACAUGGGCAAGCAUGGCUGUCACAGGGUGCCCUAUCUCUUUCUGGUUUUACUGGAAAUAAUGCCACAUGGUAGCACGUGGCCAAAGGCCUCUACCUUUGACAAGUCUCCAAAGCCUCAUGAGUUCCCUUUCAGAGAGUGGGAGGCCGGUCUCAUGGUGGUCUGUGGGCCAUUGGACCAUUUCUCCAGCCAAACUUCACAUGUCAGGUCAUCUGCUUAGUCACACUGAAAGGUGAGGGGUGAGCAGUGGCAUGUGAUGCAAGAAGAGGUGUUUGGUCCUUCUUCUUGUCAUGAAGUGCUUUCCUCCUGGGUUUUUUUUGGUGCCUGUUGCUAUAAAAGGAGAUUGUUGUGUUCUUGGCUUUAUUUGUAAAGACCUCUUCGUAGCUUUUCUUUUUUUUUUUUUUGAAUGUGGUUGUUUUUGGGGCAAGGCAGCAUCAUGGCUAGUUUGGAGGUGUUUAACUUGCUUCCCCAAGCCAUUCUUUCUCACCUUUUGUCUUAAGUGGGUUUAAAGAUUUGUGCCCUAGAAAUAGAGAACAAAUCAUAAAUUACAGCGAGAAUUUUUCUGAUUGAAUAAUAGAAGGUUUCAGAUUAACUGAAUAUCAAACUUUCUCCCUCUCCCACAUUUGUUUUGUUUUGCUGAAAUGCAAUAAUUCUUUGAUGUAUUGGCUGGAGGGGAGUUUCUAGCACUUGUAGUGGCUGGCGGAGCUGUGGAGUGAUCUGCCUGGUGCAGGAGCCCCCAGCUCAAUGGACUCAGGUGGGAUGGGGGUGAGCUAAGCAGGACAACAGAGCCCUGAGCAGCCCAAAGCAAGAGACUGAACAGAGGCAGGGGCGCCCCUGGGGCUCAAGUGCUCUUUGCAGCUGCUAACAUGGAUAAUUCAUUCCAUUAUGCUACCACUUUUUUUUUUCUUCUUUUUUUUCCUCCCACCAUAUUUUUACCCUGUUGAUUUUAAAUGUCAUUAGGUUUACAAAUCUGAAUAUGACCUGUAGAUAGUGGAAGAGCUGGUUCUUUCUGUGUGUUUCGAGGGGGUAAGGGAUGUUGGAGAGUCAAUGUGGUGUGGUGUACCUUUUGUCACUCCCGGAAACUGCACAUGUAUCUUGCUGAAAACUCAAUGUAGUAAAUGAAUAUGCAGGGAUGUGUGUUUCAUUUUUCAGGUUUUAUUUUCAGAAAGCCAGGUAGCUACCAAAUGUGCUUGUCUGUUUAAAUUUAAUGUUAUCCAUACUUCCCUCCAGUCUUUGGAGAUGAUAUUAUAUCUUUGCAGAACAUACUCUUAACUUUCUUGUGCUUACAAGCUUGUCUGUUAUCACUUCUGAUUUUUCUUAAUUAUUCCAAUGCUUUGUAUGACGUGAAGCUGUAUAUCACUGUUGAAUAAAUCACCCUAAUAAACAUCUCAAACUAACCUCUCAA